UACAGAGGGGGCAAGCGUUGUUCGGAAUUACUGGGCGUAAAGGGCGCGUAGGCGGCCAACCUCGUCAGACGUGAAAUCCCUCGGCUCAACCGGGGAACUGCGUCUGAUACUAGUUGGCUCGAAUCCGGGAGAGGGAUGUGGAAUUCCAGGUGUAGCGGUGAAAUGCGUAGAUAUCUGGAGGAACACCGGUGGCGAAGGCGGCAUCCUGGACCGGUAUUGACGCUGAUGCGCGAAAGCCAGGGGAGCAAACGGG
RNAcentral lists this ribosomal RNA (253 nucleotides) under uncultured Acidobacteriota bacterium. RNAcentral describes it as "uncultured Acidobacteria bacterium partial 16S ribosomal RNA". It matches the Rfam family "Bacterial small subunit ribosomal RNA", at positions 524 to 776 of the family's 1533-position model. The record is from RNAcentral. Lineage: Bacteria; Pseudomonadati; Acidobacteriota.